Molecule: ribosomal RNA, 190 nt
Filed under: uncultured bacterium WkA49
Lineage: Bacteria
Description: partial 16S ribosomal RNA
Rfam family: Bacterial small subunit ribosomal RNA
Source: RNAcentral
CCUACGGGAGGCAGCAGUAAGGAAUAUUGGUUCAAAGGACGAAAGUCUGAACCAGCCAUGCCGCGUGGAGGAUGAAGGCCCUCUGGGUUGUAAACUUCUUUUAUUUGGGAAGAAACCCAUCUUUUCUAAGGUGGUUGACGGUACCAGAUGAAUAAGCACCGGCUAACUCCGUGCCAGCAGCCGCGGUAAU